This 73-nucleotide transfer RNA is filed under the name Planctomycetota bacterium. Its description in RNAcentral is "tRNA-Glu". It matches the Rfam family "tRNA". Rfam says of the family: Transfer RNA (tRNA) molecules are approximately 80 nucleotides in length. Their secondary structure includes four short double-helical elements and three loops (D, anti-codon, and T loops). Further hydrogen bonds mediate the characteristic L-shaped molecular structure. tRNAs have two regions of fundamental functional importance: the anti-codon, which is responsible for specific mRNA codon recognition, and the 3' end, to which the tRNAs corresponding amino acid is attached (by aminoacyl-tRNA synthetases). tRNAs cope with the degeneracy of the genetic code in two manners: having more than one tRNA (with a specific anti-codon) for a particular amino acid; and 'wobble' base-pairing, i.e. permitting non-standard base-pairing at the 3rd anti-codon position. Lineage: Bacteria; Pseudomonadati; Planctomycetota. The record is from RNAcentral.
GGCCCCAUCGUCUAGCGGCCUAGGACACCGGGUUUUCAACCCGGCAACACGGGUUCGAUUCCCGUUGGGGUCA